Halichondria panicea is the source of this 4839-nucleotide long non-coding RNA. RefSeq lists it as uncharacterized. The transcript is spliced from 6 exons. Lineage: Eukaryota; Metazoa; Porifera; Demospongiae; Suberitida; Halichondriidae. The record is from RefSeq and is a predicted model, not a curated record.
UUAUUUAGUAUAGCUAUGUACAAAGAUUUCUACAUUGUAUAUACCCAUACAGACCUGGGCUAUUGGAUGCUAUAAUUAUACAGAUACAAAGAAUGUAUAUAGCUGCAUGCAGGCAUUCUUGUGUAAGAAGUGGACAUUAUAUAUAAGAGAGGUUCCACUGUUACAGUAGCACAUGCAUGUAUAUUUAUGUGUAUAUAUAUACUCUGUGCAUGGGAACAUUUCUGAGUGGUUUAAUUUUUUGUUAUUUUCGCUCCCGAGAAGCUGUCACACUAAAUUUAGACCCACGAAAAAUUGGACACCCUGGGCCCGAUCCAUGCACUUAUGGCAAUGCAAAAAAAUGGUGUCCAUUUCUCUGUAUAUAUAUAUAUAGCGGGGAGACUUUGUGUGGAUAGGACUCACCAAAGUUGAUUCUUUCUAGCAAGCCGAUUCAAUAUAGCUUAAACUGGACCCAUCAUGGCUCUCAUGAAAAGGCAAGGAUGAUAGUUUAGCUAGGGAGAGGGAGUGAGAUAUAGAACCAUUUCACGGCAGGAGAAGUCCACUUUUGGCAGCACAAAAAAAUGGCCAGGAGAUUCAUUUUUGCCCAUGCAAGUCCAAAUUUCGCGUGACAUGCAGAGCCCUAAAACGAAUAUUUAAUUCGCGAAAAGUUGAUAAUGAUAUUCGAAAAGUGGCUUCAGACACUUAUCAACAUGUGACUUGUGCUACAUAUACAAAUUUGACAACGAAGUGUAGCUAUUGUCUUUUGCAUGCACCUGGGCUCUAGACAAUAAAUUUAACAAAAACAUAUUAUUUAAGAGCAUUAAACAAAAACAUACAAGAACAUAAUUAUAUAAUUAUCUGUAGCUGCCUGCAUGCCUAUAAUUAUGCUGUGUCAAUGCAGUGAGUGCUUUUUAAAAAAAUGUGUACAACCGUGCACAAUAUAAUACUAAGUUGAGUUGCUCUCCAGUAAACUUUAUCACUUAACAAGUGCAACAAUCAAAGAGAGUAUAUUUUUUUUGAGUACACAUUUUUUACAUUUUGUAGCAUAUCUUCUAAAGUAAAAGUGAUAUGAUCUAUUUGAGUGCAGGUACUGAAAGUUUAACUAUUGGCGCUUCCAUUGGACCACCACCUGUUACAUGAUAUGACAUCAUCAAUAUAAAAUGGCUGUCUGAAGAUGUGUACUUCUGAAAAUAUGUUAGGAAUAGAAGUAGCUUACUUGUUUGAGUUAAGAUCUGAAAUAUGUUGUGCAUGUACCUGAGUAUUAUUGUUCAACUUUUAAGCUUCAACGGAAGUCUGGGCUAGGCUACUAGUAAGUUCUGAGAAAUACUGCAUUUUGUUUUUUUUAGUGGCAAAUAUGUUAGGAAUACAACUUUCGAUUUUAUAUUAUUGGGGCGAGCGAAGCGAGUCCCUUAGUUAGUCAUGCACGUGGUCCGGGUGGUGUGUGUAUGUAUGUAUGUAUGUCUACCGUGGACCGGCAGGCCGGCAUGGACCGGCAUACGAUAUUUGCUUUUGUGACUCGUGAUCCUUUACCAAUUUCUACGUGAGUCAAUAACUUUAGCUCGAUAAAGAUUAGCCUCGACCCCAGGCCAAUCCGUCUCCAAUUGAACGCUAGGUCGCCUACGUAUUUUUCAACUUCGUUCUAUUAAAAAAAAGUCAGCCUGGGACCGAGGCUAGAUAAAGAUAUGAAUAGUGACAAAACUAGCGAUAAGGCCUAAGGAGGAUCCUCAGAAACAGCUAAAAAGAGGGAAAGGAGGCUUGCUAGACCCAGAGAAAGAUACAGGGCACACAGAAGCAGCAGGAAGUGAAGGUAACUGACUCAAACGGUUCUGCAGGUGUUUUCCUAAAAUAUAUAAAUGUUGUGUAGAAAGUGCACAAGCCAGCAGAAAGUGGCCAAAUGUUCAUGUAGAAGAGGGAUUGGAAACGGAAGUACGCUCGAAGUACCAUCCGUGUAUCUCCGCGGUUUUAAUCGAGGCUUACUUUUUAACACGAGGGCUAAACAUGAAUAAUUCAUAAGAAUUGUUUUUCUCUCUGUAAGAAGUCCACGAGCAGUUCUGCUGCUAAACAUCAACUUUCUCUAAUACUUGAGGCCAUUUAGGACACAGGACACUAUUUAGUUACAAAGCCUUAGCUAUAUCAAAGGUACUAUAGGAACACAAGCAUGAAAAAGCGCUCUGUGUACCUCUAGCUACUUCACGACAAUCGAGAUUAUAUUUUCUUUGUUUCCAAUUGAUACCUACUAUCAGGGGGCAUGUGAUUCAGUAAUGGGGGUAGCUCUGAGAUGUAUGCUUUAGACACAAUAAGUUUCCCGGGAUUUUGCGGGAGUUAUGAGGAGAUACGGUGUCAUAAAAUUUUAGGCCCCCCAUGAGAUUGGGCCCCCCGGGCCUAGAAUUUUAACAUUUUAGGCCCCCCCAUUAACAGCACAACAGCGGUAACAUUGUGUGACAGUGCAUUCUCAAAAUACACCAAUACAGUCUUCUAUGGUCUUCACAGUCUAUGCAGUGCCAGUUAUACUGAAUGCAGCUCUCCUCACACACACACAUUUCAUGCAUGUACAGUAGUAUACCACUGAUCUCACAGCCAUCACACUGCACCAUGUCAUUUUAUGAAUCAGGCCUCAUGCAGCACGAAGCACAUAGGUGCCAACUGUCCCGAAUUGGUCAGGACUGCCCAAGAUUACCCUUGUCCCGAAAGGAAACUGCUAUUGUGAUUCCACCAUGAUACAACAGUUUCUCUCUUGACUUCUAUCUAUGAUUCCACAGUACUUGAGAGCUGAGCCAGUGAUGCUAUUGGAGCAUCCCCACAACAAUUUACAUCUUCUAUGUAUAAGAAAACAUGGAGGAAGAUAUGAAUUGUUGUCUUUGCACUGAAAUUGUAUGCUUUAUACUUUUUUGUCCUGAAAUUUGGCUGAGAAAGUAAGCAUGAAGUUGCAAAUAUGGGGAUAGCUAUGCAACAACAUCGAUUGUCUUACAGGCAGAUCCAACAUUGCAGAGCUGCAUCAAAGCAUUUAACUUUUAUAGGUAAAGCAUGAGUAACUUAAAAGGUAAAUCUUCCUGAAUUCCAUGAUAGAAUAAUAAUGCAAAUAUUUUUGCUACUUUGAUACAGAGUCUUUGCAUGCAUGCAGUCUCUUUGAUGCUUUGUCAACUAAUAGAGCUAACCUUACCAUAUUAUUAUAUCUCUUUGACUUCGUUCUAUCGUGCAGAAAAGGAUAGCAGAAGAGGAGGGCCUAAUCUCACAGUGGGGGGCCUAGAAUGUUAACAGUUUGGACCCCCUGGGGGGCCUAAACGGUUAACAUUCUAGGCCCGGUGGGCCCAAAAUUUUAAAAUUCUAGGCCCGGAGGGGGCCUAAACAUGGGGGGGCCCAAAAUUUUAUGACAACGGGUCCCAGAGCCACUACGUAGACUUCAUUGUAAAACAUCACGUGAAUCACUUCCAUUUCCAAUCCCUCUUCUACUCUAUCUAUGAUUACACUUACAGAGACUCCAGAAGCCACAUAGGCACGCUUGAAGCAAUGCAGGCAUAGACAUGCCUCUAUUCAAACAAUCUACUGUUCAAUCCAAGAUGCUGUUUAUAUCUGCAGUCAUGCCAAUAAUGUCCAUCUAUCGAUUACCACUUGGACAAUAUGAAUACGCAGGCCAUGUCAUCAACCUGCCACAAGAUUGCAGAAGCAGCUGGUCACUCUAGGGAUUGACAAGAUACCACAUGAGCAGUUGCAGUAAGUGCAUGUCAUUGAAAUUUAGCACAGAACCUCUAAAAUUCUUGCCAGUGAGAAUUAUACAGCCUCAAUUCCUGUUAUACAUAAUUAUGGACAUAAUUAUGACAAGUGCAAAUGAUUUAAUUGAUUCUUAAGGAGAAGAUAGGUAGCGGACAGUUCGGAACAGUGUACAGGGCUGUGUGGGAGUUCUCAAUAAGUGAGGAUAAAACGAAGUCCAGGCCAUCUCCACCCAAGUUGCUGUCAAGGUAAUGGACCAGAAGUCAGCUGAGGACAAGAUCAAGUUCCUGCAAGAAGCUGUGUGACCCCAAUAUUGUGACUGUGUUUGGAGUGGUGACAUGCAGGACCUGAUAAGCUAAUGAUGGUUAGUGAGUUAAUGGAUGAAGACUUAAGAAGCCACCUCAGCGACAUCAGAGCAAAGAUUCAGAGCAACGAAAACACAGAGGAAGAAAUGACUGAGUUACCUGCUCUCCUGCUCAGCUACUGUAGGAAGAUUGCCAGCAGCUUUGUGUACUUGGGGCUCAAGGGGUUUGUUUAUCGUGACCUGGCAGCCAGAAACAUACUCGUCUCCAAGGAAGGGGAGUGCAAGACUGCUGAUUUCGGUAUUCCAUGUGAUCUACGAAAACUGCAUCUACACGUUAUAUGGAGGAUUGGCCCCUGUCAAAUGGGCAGCCCCUGAGGCUAUCAAGUUCAUGAGGUACUCAGUGAAUAGUGACAUCUGGAACUAUGGGAUGCUGCUCUAUGAGAUUUGGUCACUAGGAUACACACCCUAUUACAACCUCAGCAACACUGCAUGUCAUUGAAAAAGUACAUGCUGGUUACCGCCUCCCACCACCACCUGGAUGUCGCAGAUCUAUCUAUGACCUCUUCAUCAAAUGCACGCACCCCCAACCCGAGUCAAGGCCAACAUUCACCAAUAUAUUGACCAGCCUGCAGAGACCCGACUACCAGCUGCUAAAAUGGAGGGCAGAGGACGUGGUUGCCAGCAGUGAGGCGGCUAGAACGCUGGGAGAUCCAUUAAAGGAGGGGGAGAGGCUGUACACAGAACUACAAAAGACCUAUGUGGAAACUUACUGCUGAGAGUAGAGUGUAGUGUAGAUCUUUAACAAUGCUUUGAGGUCUAAUUUAAUAAUUGUGUUCAUGUGAUGUUCUCAU